This 1961-nucleotide long non-coding RNA is filed under the name Mus musculus (house mouse). RNAcentral describes it as "RIKEN cDNA 1110002J07 gene, transcript variant 2 (1110002J07Rik)". Lineage: Eukaryota; Metazoa; Chordata; Mammalia; Rodentia; Muridae. The record is from RNAcentral.
CCUGCAGUCUUGGGUUGGGUUUUUCUGUAAAUGCACUCUGUGAGAGAUACGCAGCCUUCUGGGACCUUGGCUUCCUCUUCCAUGCAAAGAGGGAGGUGACCUUUGAAGGUCUCUUCCGUAUUUAACCUUUUCCGUUUUCUCUGAUCUCGGUGGCAGGGAUUUUCAGCAAAUGCCCUAACCCUCUCUGUAGGGGGCUCACGUUCACCAUUUCCAGGUGAUGUGGAAGGACUAGAGGGUGUAGCCAUGUUAGAGGAAGCAUGUCACUGGGAGUGGCCUUUGAAGAUGAGGAUGUCGCUGCAAGCUCCUUCUCUAGCCCCAUGUCUGCCUGCCAGCUGCCUGCCUGCUCCCACCACGAUGAUGAUGGACUGAACCCCUGAAACUAUUCUUCAGCCAGGAAAAAAUAGCAGCGAAGGAGAGAGAGAGAAAUCCUUCCCUGGUGAGCUGGAUUCCUUGAAGUUGCAGACUAUGAAAAGCGGGAUGCAGUUAUGUGAACUCCCAGCAUCCUGGUCCAUAUGCCUGCCUGCUUGCUGUCUCUUCCGUGCCUUUAUGGGUGCUAACCCUCUGGGACCACAAGACAACAUAACAACAAGACCGUCUUCCUUAAGAUGCCUUGGUCAUGGUGUGUCUUAUCGCAGCGGCAGAAAAGUACUGAAUACAAGGGACAACCCGACUGUGUGUUUGCGCCAAGCGAUCUCGUAGACACGGGCCAGUCUAUGGACUAACUGCCCUUGUGCAUCUAUACCUAUCACUGUCAGAGCACAGAAGAACGAGCCGCGGUGAACAGUGAAUGUCUUGGGGAACUGUGGGAAAGGCUCCAGGAGAAAAGGCAGAGGGCCUUUUAUCUCAGGGGUGUCUUGUUUCCUGGAUUGUUCUUGGACGUGAUUUUGUGCUUCCUGUGUUAAACAUUGACGUUCAAGCCGUAAGGCAUGUUUAUUCUUGUUGGAUGUCUGGACAUAGCUAUAGAACCCAAUCUGGUCAGUGUACCCUGAAUGUGGAUGUGGCCUUCUGCCUUGCUUUUGUGCUUUCCCAGGUAGAGUCUACAGUACUUUCCAGGUAAUUGUGUUUAAACUGGUCUGACCUGAGAAAGUUCUGGGAAAGAGCUGCCCUGUUAAUAGUAUGAGCUUACUGGUGCUAAUUUGCAUAUUUUUCUGAUCACUUUUUUUUUUUUCAAAACUCAAACAGCCUUCCUUGGAUCAUUCCUUUCUUUGUUACAUUGUGUAUAAAAGGACACAGAAACUGAAGUAAGGUUGUCUACAGCAUCACACUCUAGUCCGCCCGUUCUUUCAGGUCUUCAGCGUCAGGUCCAGCAGACAAGAUCUGCACAGGUUGAUGCAAACUGACACAGGAUUACCUCUCUUCUGUUUAUUUUGGUUUUAUUGUUUGAGAUCCAGUCUCCCGUGGUCCAGGCUGGCCUUGAACUAGAUAUACAGCUAAGAUGAUCCUCCUGCCUCCACCUCCCAAGAGCUGGGAUUGCAGGUGUGCGCCUCUAUUCCUGGUUUAUGCAGCACUGGGGCGUCAAUCCAGGACAACAUGCUUGCUAGGCAACAUGCAUGCUAGGCAAGAACUAUACCGACUGAGCUACACCCCAGCCCUCUGUAUCCAUUUUUUUUAAAAAACCAUCUGGAGAAACAAGUUGGGGGAAUAAAUUACAUAGGAAUUUGGAAAUAAAAAGAAUAAAUAUAUGUGCCAGAGCCAUUUUAAUACUGAAGAUUUUUAAAUGUAGCUGACAAUGUUAUUAAAAUGUUACUGUACCGCGAUGGUUGGGGAAAUCAAAAUCUGUUAAGGUUUUUAGAAGAGACUACAGCUUUCUUAUUUUCUUUAAGUAUAUGUAAAUCAAGGGUAGCUGUUGGCCAUGUCAGGCCACGUACUCAAGUAUACAAAAAUGCUGCCCAGCACGUGCCGAAUAGGGCCAAUAUGGAGGGUCUGGGUUGAGGUAUUAAAUAAACUCGUACCAGCCCUUG